This 165-nucleotide ribosomal RNA is filed under the name Veronica salicifolia. RNAcentral describes it as "5.8S ribosomal RNA". It matches the Rfam family "5.8S ribosomal RNA". From Rfam's summary of the family: 5.8S ribosomal RNA (5.8S rRNA) is a component of the large subunit of the eukaryotic ribosome. It is transcribed by RNA polymerase I as part of the 45S precursor that also contains 18S and 28S rRNA. Lineage: Eukaryota; Viridiplantae; Streptophyta; Magnoliopsida; Lamiales; Plantaginaceae. The record is from RNAcentral.
UAAACGACUCUCGGCAACGGAUAUCUCGGCUCUCGCAUCGAUGAAGAACGUAGCGAAAUGCGAUACUUGGUGUGAAUUGCAGAAUCCCGUGAACCAUCGAGUCUUUGAACGCAAGUUGCGCNCGAAGCCUCUUGGCCGAGGGCACGCCUGCCUGGGCGUCACGCA